UGUGCAUGUAGUAGGCUACGUAGUCAGUGCUGCAGCGUUGACGUGUGGAAUGACAGCUUCCUAUAUUCAAAUCCACUGGCGCCGAAGCAAAAGCUAAACUCUGAUAAAUUCGGCCUACUAUCCGAAAGUAUACUGUAGCUACAAUUUUCCAAACAACUUGUCGUGAUUUUCGUAAGUCAAAAAGUAGCCAACGUUAGAUAGCUAGCUAGUCAUAAACCGGAAGAACGGAUAUCAUAUCAGUAACAUUGGCAUGCUAGCUAUCUGGCUGACUUACAGCAGAGUUAGCUACGUAGCUAAAGUUAGUUACUACAGUCGCGUUUUUGUGCAAGAUUUGAUUUGGCAAGACAUAUACAGCUAGCACUGGGUUGAUGGUUAACGGUAACCCUUGAUUGCGUGGUCAGCUGCUGUACAGUAGUCAACAAAUGGCUGUUUAAAAACUGUGUUUACAUAGCUACCAAGAUACUUUUUAAAAACCCAUUUCGCCCAGUGCACUGUCUGUUAUGCACAUUAAUGAACCAUACCUGAAGAAGUUGAGAAAACAUCUAAUUUGACAUAUUUCUUACACUCUAGUUUGGGACAGUUCUUUACAGCAAAAACUCAUACACUUCAAAUUGACAAAACUGAUGCUGUUAUUUGACUAUAUAGAUAUUUGACAAAACAACAACUUAACAGCUAAGACACGACAGUGACUGAUGGAGUGAGUCUGGCAAGCCACGUGCAUUCUGACCGUAGUUUAAAUGAUCUGGUCCACAAAAACCUUCGCAGUGGAAUUUAUAAUAACAUUACCCAGUACUCAUUUGUUUACAAUGAGAAAUUAUUUGGUCAGGUUUGUGUUUACACUGAGAAGAUUGAACAUGGUUCAAAGAAGUCUAAUGUUUUGCGCAAGCUUAAAGACUUUGAGUCCCUCCCCAUGGUUACCAAGGAAGGAUUUAGAAACAUUGUGGCAUUGCAAAGUGAUGCACCCCUGCAGAUGGGCCACAAACAUUACCUGUCUCUUUGGAAUAAUGAGGGUCCUGAAAGCAGAGUAUAGGUUCUAGAUGGUAAAAUGAGAAUUUCAGUUGCUAACUAUUGUGGUUAUUACAAUGGUGAUUACCUGAACCAGACUUACUUUGAAGUCGCAGACCAAAGUGUCACCAUGCCCCUUGUCAUGUAGAAUGAGCUGUGGCCCGAGUGGUACCAGAGACUGAAUGUUGGAACUGUGCUCUACCUCCAAAACUACACCCUCAGGCAGAGUAAUCCAAACAGGUCUCGACCUGACAUAGACAACCACAGAAUGAAGAGCUUUCACUCAGUAGGUACUGAACUCAACCUAACCUAGUGAUUCACAACUUAGCAAAUCAACAUACAUUGCCAGACAGACACUCCCAAUUGGUCAUUUUGAAAUAAUAUUCUGUCUGAACACUGAAUACUGUGAAACUCUUCGUUUUUACUAUGCAUGGCCUUGUAGAAAUCUGUCUGAAUCUUUGGACUCCCACUGCACUCCUUACUGUGGUUCCAGCCAAAGAGUAAGGGGUCCGCAGGUCAGAGGUGUUCGUUAGACUUGGACUAGUCAUUUAUUCUGAAAAUGUAACACAAAUGCUCAUGAUUUUUUUCCAUCUUUUGCAGGCCCAGAAAAAUAGUGGAUUUACCGCUGAGUCCAUGCAGUGGAACAUCCAAUAGUCCUUUUAUUUUGGAGCUUUCUGCUUCUUCACAACCAGAAAUAUACCAUGGGAUAUACCCAAGCAAAUAUUUUUACUGUAGUACUAGCUAUAACAGUUAGUAGCUAUAAUACAAACAAUUCCAUAGGUAAACGGCAACAGAACUCUCCUAAUUGUACUUAUUUUCUCCCUGCUCUGUACCCUCCCCAUAUCCCAUUGUAACAUACCUGGUGUGCACUCAGAUGAGAAAGUGUUAAGAGCAAGACUCACUGCCUUACCUCACUAGCAGCUGCAAGACACAUAUAUUUAAUACCGUUUUCCCUCAAGGUAUCACAAGGGCCAGCCUUACCUGUCAGACCCCAGGGUGAAGCUUCGACCAGUGGACCAAGACUGAAGGACAGCAUUAUGCUGAAGAAGACUGUUGUUGGUGGCCAUUAUUGCUUCCCUCACACCCCUCAGAUAUUCACACAGUCAGUGGCAGUUGGCUCAGCUCAAGUUCUUCUGGUUGCUGCAAAUGACCUAAAGAGGGAGAUGGAGGGUCUGCAUUAUCGUUAGCACAAGCAGCUGGCAAUCCAAGGUCAGAUCAUUGCUGUGCAGUAUGUGACAUGGCCAGAGGAGGCACUGUAAGACCAGAAUGAUCCACUACCCAAUGGACUUCAAGCCAACUUAACACAACCGUGGGAAGCAUUGGAGUCAACAUGGGCCAGCAUCCCUGUGGAAUGGUUUUGACGCCUUGUAGAGGACAGGAUACAUUGAAAGACACAAAAAAAACAGUUACCUGUACAGGAAUGAUUUGCCGUUGGUAAGUCAAGUUUAGAAUACGAUUCAGUCUGUGGGUGAGACUGUUGUGGCUGUACCAAACCCACACGGUGAUCAGAAAAUUGUAGACGUAACUGAAACACAGAAAAACAGGGAAACAGCGCCCUCUGGUGUGCAGAGCUCACUCAGCAGACGGGGGAAAAACAACCCAAGAAGAGGUGAGUUUCAAAACACAGGUGGGCUAUAUGACUGUCAACAUUACUAAACAUUUAAAAUUGUACUUGUAACUCCCCUUUACUACGGCAUUUGAAAUUGUAUUUGUAUAUUUUACAUUGUCAUGAUGACGUCACUUGCAUGUUUUAGAAUAAUUGUAUUUAGUCUUUUAGAGUGAUAAAGCAAUGCUACAUCACUCGGGCCAGGAUGCAAGAGAAAAGGUACUGAAUCAACUUCUAUCCUCUGCCAUAAUCAGUUCUCUAUGCCCAUCAGGGACCCACCCAGUAGCUCAGGUUAUGAGAGCUUGUUCUGUUCACAGAGAAGCUGGCCGUGGCUUUACAGAAUAGGAGCUAGUGGGGCAGGAAGAGAAGAGUGAUUCUGAAUCAGAGGAAGAAGUUGGUCCACUAGAUAGAAACCCAGACCAAACCAGAGCGGGUAGACAACAAAGUCCAUCAGAUAUUCCACAGAGUGACGGCGCUCCAAGAGAAAGUGGUUACGGACUGUGGGAAAGCUGCUCGUGGCUGAAGCAGAGACGAGAAGUGCCAGAAUAUUUGUGUCAAUGACGAAUAAGGUUUUCAAAAACAUUUUAAAAGGGAAAAAUAUUCAUUUCGAAACACUUUUUAUGUUCCCUUGAGUGUUACCUACAAUGUGUAUGCACAUUCAGGAUUUGUCGCUUUUUAUGCAACUUAAAUUUACCUCCUAAAAAAAGACCCCACAUUUUGAAUGACUGUCAACUGAAACUUCUGUUAGAGAAAUUAAAACCAUAUACAAUUUGACAAAAAAUGCAUUUUUCUAUUAGAAUGAGCUUCUCUGCAUUUUAUUAGACAAUAUAAUAAUGUUAUUGUUUUUAACCAUUAAGUACCAAAUGAUCAAUGCUGGUUGCACCGUCAUUUUUUUAGGCAGAUCUCUUUCCCUCUUACAGAAACACACACAUACCAUAAACAGUAUGGUUUCUUAUUCAACAACAAUGAUGCCUUUAAUGCGUAAUAAAUUACAAAAAAUGUGACUCAAAUGUUUAUCACGCAGAAACAUUUCAUCAUGAACAUGGCAAUGGACUUCUAAAAAUGAUUACAAUUCUGCAUUAUGAUACAUUGUUCAAACAAUGUUAAAACAGUUAAGAAUCAAUGUAAUACAUACAUAGUAAAGUUCUUGAAGUACAGUAAUGACAUUCAAACAUUAAAAUACAAAACGUAUAAGAAAGUGUUCUUCUACAUUACAUCAAUUACUCAUUUGAUUAAAAACGAAUGAAAUUGCUCUACUUGUAGACAAGUUGACCGCAAAUGCCAUCCAAAUGCCAACACUGAUGAUUUCUCCAGUGAGAUUCAGCCACUUGGGAAUUGAUGGAAAAUUAUGA
This is a long non-coding RNA of Oncorhynchus kisutch (coho salmon), 3963 nucleotides long. RefSeq lists it as uncharacterized. The record is from RefSeq and is a predicted model, not a curated record. The transcript is spliced from 7 exons. NCBI's taxonomy places the organism in Eukaryota, Metazoa, Chordata, Actinopteri, Salmoniformes, Salmonidae.